UUCGGUCGGGAACUCAAAGGAGACUGCCAGUGAUAAACUGGAGGAAGGUGGGGAUGACGUCAAGUCAUCAUGGCCCUUACGACCAGGGCUACACACGUGCUACAAUGGCGCAUACAAAGAGAAGCGACCUCGCGAGAGCAAGCGGACCUCAUAAAGUGCGUCGUAGUCCGGAUUGGAGUCUGCAACUCGACUCCAUGAAGUCGGAAUCGCUAGUAAUCGUGGAUCAGAAUGCCACGGUGAAUACGUUCCCGGGCCUUGUACACACCGCCCGUCACACCAUGGGAGUGGGUUGCAAAAGAAGUAGGUAGCUUAACCUUCGGGGGGGCGCUUACCACUUUGUGAUUCAUGACUGGGGUGAAGUCGUAACAAGGUAACCGUAGGGGAACCUGCGGUUGGAUCACCUCCUUACCUUAAAGAAGC
RNAcentral lists this ribosomal RNA (420 nucleotides) under Salmonella enterica. Its description in RNAcentral is "bacterial SSU rRNA". It matches the Rfam family "Bacterial small subunit ribosomal RNA", at positions 1126 to 1533 of the family's 1533-position model. Lineage: Bacteria; Pseudomonadati; Pseudomonadota; Gammaproteobacteria; Enterobacterales; Enterobacteriaceae. The record is from RNAcentral.